GAUUUAAGUUUGAUUGCUUGAAAGUGUUUCUUGUUUCCUAAUUAUGGAAUUACUGAAAGUUUCUGGUUAUUGAUUCUUAUUUAGUGGAUUUAGGUUUGAUUGCCUGAAAGUAUUUCCUGUUUUUUUAUUAUUGUUAUUGCUGAAAAUGUUUAGUUAUUGAUUCUUGUUUAGUGGAUUUAGGCUUGAUUUCUUGAAAGUGUUUCCUGUUUCCUGAUUAUGGAAUUACUAAAAGUGCAUGAUUAUUGGUUCUUGUUUAGUUGAUUUAGGUUUGAUUUUCUGAAAGUGUUUUCUGUUUCCUGAUUAUUGUUAUUGCUAAAAGUGCCUGGUUAUUGAUUCUUGUUUAUAGAAUUGCCAUAUUGUUUUCUUCGUGGAUUGUUGAUAGGUUUGCGCCGAACAACGCAUGUACUUAGGAGAUGUCCAAUAUCAUCAAGAUAAUGUACAACCAUCUUUAGCCCAGCUACAAGAAGAUCCGAACUGAGAUCAGAGAGCGUGAUUUCAGAAAUGGACAGUAAUUUUUUUUAGUUUCAAACCUUUUUAGCUAGUUUAUAUCUUCUAUUUUGAUGAACUAGUUUUAAAGUUUCUAUGUGCAGCUACACUUUAUAUGGGACGCUGAGUACAAUCUUACCAUCAGGAAGAUAUUCAACCAUAAAAUGGUUCAGCGGCUAUAGCAAAUGUUGGAGGAUGUUCGUGAGGGGCGAGACUACCUGAUUCCUAGCUCUGAGCAAAAAUAAAGAAGGCUUUGUUUGUUCAUUGGAAGAUCGAUGAAGGGAUCGGCAUCGGUGUAUCACCAACAGAGCUAACAGCGCAUCGGCCAGGUCGUCUAAGUAUACCAACGACUCAGUGACCAUCAUGAAGGUUAAGGCCAGACUGUCGAAUUCGUUGGAUCACGAGGGGACAUUGGCGGAGAUGUUCAGGUAUACCCACAUGUUGAAAGAGAACAAAACGAGAUUUGCUUAUCAACGGUCUCAGAACCAUUAUAAUCCUACUCGCAGAGACUAGAGGCUGCAACUCAGCAAUCUCAGCAAAGUGGGGAGGACGCCGUUGAUGGCUCUGCUACUUCAGUCGUCGAUCCCAAUGCGGUUUGGCAUGAGACCGCCUCAGCACCGUAUAAGAACCACAUACACGGGCUAGGAUCAUUCUUCGCCAGCAGCCUCCGUACCUGCACGUUGAGACUGUCAUCAGGCUUUGCCACCAGUUGAGCCGUCAAGCCCGAGGAAGGCGUGGAUUUGAGGCUGAAGGUGUAGGAACUCCAACACAACUUUCACCAGUAGACUCAUAAGCUGAACGAUCAUCGGAAGAUGUAUUAGGAGAUCAUCACAUUCGUGACGGAUACGGAUGACCUUAGUCUGGAGUGGAGGGAGCAACUGGAGCGGCUUUAGUGGAUGGAGGCUCAGAUGGAGGUGUACCAUGCUCAGAUGCGUGCCACUAGCAUCAUCCCUGCUGGUGGCAACGGUCCUGCUGGUGACACACAGACAUCACUGCCUUCUACACCGCCUCCUCAGGGCCACGAGACCGACGAUGACGACGAUAACGAUGACGACAAUGACGAGGACGAGGACUACCUGAAUCUUUAGUUAUUAGUGUAUCGUUUUUUUGUUUCAUUGUAUUUAUUUGAUGUACUUGACUAUUAAU
Long non-coding RNA from Arachis ipaensis, 1632 nucleotides. RefSeq lists it as uncharacterized. The record is from RefSeq and is a predicted model, not a curated record. NCBI's taxonomy places the organism in Eukaryota, Viridiplantae, Streptophyta, Magnoliopsida, Fabales, Fabaceae.